This 301-nucleotide ribosomal RNA is filed under the name uncultured bacterium. RNAcentral's name for it is "partial 16S ribosomal RNA". It matches the Rfam family "Bacterial small subunit ribosomal RNA", at positions 509 to 807 of the family's 1533-position model. The record is from RNAcentral.
CAGCCGCCGCGGUAAUACGUAGGUGGCAAGCGUUGUCCGGAAUUAUUGGGCGUAAAGGGCUCGCAGGCGGUUUCUUAAGUCUGAUGUGAAAGCCCCCGGCUCAACCGGGGAGGGUCAUUGGAAACUGGGAAACUUGAGUGCAGGAGAGGAGAGUGGAAUUCCACGUGUAGCGGUGAAAUGCGUAGAGAUGUGGAGGAACACCAGUGGCGAAGGCGACUCUCUGGUCUGUAACUGACGCUGAGGAGCGAAAGCGUGGGGAGCGAACAGGAUUAGAUACCCCUGUAGUCCCUGUCUCUUAUAC